Prunus mume (Japanese apricot) is the source of this 624-nucleotide non-coding RNA. Lineage: Eukaryota; Viridiplantae; Streptophyta; Magnoliopsida; Rosales; Rosaceae. The record is from RefSeq and is a predicted model, not a curated record.
CAACGCUUGGAGACCUUUCACGCAGACCAAACGAUGUGAAGAAGAAGACUCACCAUCGUCAGUUGAAGAAGAAGACCCACCAUCGUCAAUUGAAGAAGAAGACCCACCAUCGUCUGCGACAGAGGUGCUAGUAGUCCAAGGAAAGGGUGGACAGUAUCGAGGGACGGGAGUGUGGAAGCUCCCUACUGGAAAAAUAAAACAAGCGAUGGCUGAGUUUGUGGAGUGCUCGAAGAAGACGAAGAGCCCUCCCUUCCAAGACGAAGGAAGAGCUGCCAUCGCGAGUUGAGCUUGCAAGAAUUCUAUGCCAAUCAGGUUUUUAAUGGAGUAAUCUUGUUCGUUUAUGUCAGUCUCGAAGUUGGACCAUCUGCUGUACUUUGGAUUUAACAUCUUUGAUGGUGUUUGUUUUGCUGUCAUGGAACUUCUCAUCCAAGUGAUCAUGUUUGUAGUACUUUUUGGGUUUGAUAUAAACUUUUAUGCUUAGAUGAUAGUUCUUGGGGCCAACUUGUACAAUUUAUUGAAGUUAAUUAUCAAUUUAAGGACCACCUGCUCUCAAGCAAUUCUAUGUGAAAAGGCUAUUUGAACACAAGGCCAACCUCUUUAUCUCAAAGCUUGUUCCAUUUGAUA